RNAcentral lists this small RNA (122 nucleotides) under Klebsiella pneumoniae. RNAcentral's name for it is "RtT sRNA". It matches the Rfam family "RtT RNA", at positions 15 to 130 of the family's 130-position model. From Rfam's summary of the family: This family represents a bacterial cis-regulatory element known as RtT RNA. The exact function of RtT is unknown although it is thought that it may be involved in changing the cellular response in relation to amino acid starvation. The record is from RNAcentral. Lineage: Bacteria; Pseudomonadati; Pseudomonadota; Gammaproteobacteria; Enterobacterales; Enterobacteriaceae.
CCAUGGGAAGGAUGAGAAGCUUCGACUAAGGUUCGACUCGAGCGAAGCGAGAGAACGUUGCCGCAGGCAACGGCCCGAAGGGCGAGGCGCUUUAGCGCCGAGUAAUCCUUCCCCCACCACCA